Molecule: ribosomal RNA, 402 nt
Filed under: bacterium
Lineage: Bacteria
Description: partial 16S ribosomal RNA
Rfam family: Bacterial small subunit ribosomal RNA
Source: RNAcentral
UGGGGAAUUUUGCACAAUGGGGGAAACCCUGAUGCAGCGACGCCGCGUGAUUUAGAAGGCCUUCGGGUUGUAAAAAUCUUUUCUAUGGGAAGAAAAUGACAGUACCAUAGGAAUAAGGACCGGCUAAUUACGUGCCAGCAGCCGCGGUAAUACGUAAGGUCCGAGCGUUGUCCGGAAUCAUUGGGCGUAAAGGGUACGUAGGCGGGUAAGCAAGUUAGAAGUGAAAUCCUAUAGCUCAACUAUAGUAAGCUUUUAAAACAGCUCAUCUUGAGGUAUGGAAGGGAAAGUGGAAUUCCUAGUGUAGCGGUGAAAUGCGCAGAUAUUAGGAGGAAUACCGGUGGCGAAGGCGACUUUCUGGCCAUAACCUGACGCUGAGGUACGAAAGCGUGGGUAGCAAACAGG